RNAcentral lists this ribosomal RNA (447 nucleotides) under uncultured bacterium. RNAcentral describes it as "bacterial SSU rRNA". It matches the Rfam family "Bacterial small subunit ribosomal RNA", at positions 29 to 521 of the family's 1533-position model. The record is from RNAcentral.
AACGAACGCUGGCGGCAUGCCUAACACAUGCAAGUCGAACGAGACCUUCGGGUCUAGUGGCGCACGGGUGCGUAACGCGUGGGAAUCUGCCCUUGGGUUCGGAAUAACAGUUAGAAAUGACUGCUAAUACCGGAUAAUGUCUUCGGACCAAAGAUUUGUCGCCCAGGGAUGAGCCCGCGUAGGAUUAGCUAGUUGGUGAGGUAAAGGCUCACCAAGGCGACGAUCCUUAGCUGGUCUGAGAGGAUGAUCAGCCACACUGGGACUGAGACACGGCCCAGACUCCUACGGGAGGCAGCAGUGGGGAAUAUUGGACAAUGGGCGAAAGCCUGAUCCAGCAAUGCCGCGUGAGUGAUGAAGGCCUUAGGGUUGUAAAGCUCUUUUACCCGGGAUGAUAAUGACAGUACCGGGAGAAUAAGCCCCGGCUAACUCCGUGCCAGCAGCCGCGGU